GCCCUGGCAGUCAGAGGCGAUGAAGGGCGUGCUAAUCUGCGAUAAGCGCCGGUAAGGUGAUAUGAACCGUUAUAACCGGCGAUACCCGAAUGGGGAAACCCAGUGUGAUUCGUCACACUAUCAUUAACUGAAUCCAUAGGUUAAUGAGGCGAACCGGGGGAACUGAAACAUCUAAGUACCCCGAGGAAAAGAAAUCAACCGAGAUUCCCCCAGUAGCGGCGAGCGAACGGGGAGGAGCCCAGAGCCUGAAUCAGCAUGUGUGUUAGUGGAAGCGUCUGGAAAGGCGCGCGAUACAGGGUGACAGCCCCGUACACAAAAGCGCAUGUGCUGUGAGC
Molecule: ribosomal RNA, 335 nt
Filed under: Salmonella enterica
Lineage: Bacteria; Pseudomonadati; Pseudomonadota; Gammaproteobacteria; Enterobacterales; Enterobacteriaceae
Description: partial 23S ribosomal RNA
Rfam family: Bacterial large subunit ribosomal RNA
Source: RNAcentral